AUAUAUAUGUAUGUAGAUAGAUAUUCAUUUCUAUAUAUUAAAAAUAUUUUAUAUAGCUUGUCAUUUUAUAUUUUAUAGAUAUAGAUAUAAUGCCAAUCUAGAUAUCAUGAAGAAUCCUACAAUCAGAAAGAAGAAUAACAAAUGGAGGAAUAUACAAGUCAAAAGUAAAAAAGAUCCAUGAAAGGGUUUCAACCAAAUGAACCAUUUUUGGCUCCAUAGAUCCCAGAAGAACAAGAUGAUCCAUAGGAAAUGCCUUCCAAUGUGGAAAUUCAGAUGAAUAUAUUUUUUUCUGGAACACUGAGAGAUAAAAGAAAACGUGUUGUCAUAAAACAAAGAAAGAAAAAGGAAAGGAAGAAAAAAGAAAAUAAAGGAAGGAAGAAGGAAAUAAAGGAGAAUAAUGAUUAUUAGCCUGGAUCAGCAUUCACACCUUAUCUAGAAAAGAGGAAUCCCUUCCCUUUCCAUUUAUGAUACUCUCACAAAGGAUAUGAGAUACAAGUUUUAGAAAUAUUGUUUUCCUGAAGCUUAUGUUCAAGUCCAAUUAAAAAUUAGAUACUUGCUAUUUCCACUAGUGUUUGAUGUGGAGACUACUGAUGGAACUAUUCAACUGAAUGCAAUUCAAGAAACAUUAAGCAUUCUAUUUGAAAGGGAAAUAAAAACAAAAAUGAAAUAUUACCUUCUCUCA
RNAcentral lists this long non-coding RNA (682 nucleotides) under Monodelphis domestica (gray short-tailed opossum). RNAcentral's name for it is "lncRNA (ENSMODG00000030522.2)". The record is from RNAcentral. Lineage: Eukaryota; Metazoa; Chordata; Mammalia; Didelphimorphia; Didelphidae.